Molecule: ribosomal RNA, 253 nt
Filed under: uncultured bacterium
Lineage: Bacteria
Description: partial 16S ribosomal RNA
Rfam family: Bacterial small subunit ribosomal RNA
Source: RNAcentral
UACGAAGGGGGCUAGCGUUGCUCGGAAUCACUGGGCGUAAAGCGCGCGUAGGCGGCUUUGCAAGUCGGGUGUGAAAUCCCCAGGCUUAACCUGGGAACUGCAUUCGAGACUGCAUUGCUAGAGUAUGGGAGAGGGAAGUGGAAUUUCAGGUGUAGCGGUGAAAUGCGUAGAUAUCUGAAGGAACAUCAGUGGCGAAAGCGACUUCCUGGACCAAUACUGACGCUCAUGUGCGAAAGCGUGGGGAGCAAACAGG